This 1349-nucleotide ribosomal RNA is filed under the name uncultured organism. RNAcentral describes it as "bacterial SSU rRNA". It matches the Rfam family "Bacterial small subunit ribosomal RNA", at positions 87 to 1455 of the family's 1533-position model. The record is from RNAcentral.
GGUGGAAAGUGGCGAACGGGUGAGUAACACGUUGGUGACCUGCCCUGAGGAGGGGAAUAACCGUGGGAAACCACGGCUAAUACCCCGUGAUGUCUAAGCUGUUAGAGGGCUUAGACUAAAGCCCCUGCAAUGGGUGCGCCUCGGGAGGGGCCUGCGGGCUAUCAGCUUGUAGGUGGGGUAAUGGCUUACCAAGGCGAAGACGGCUAGGGGGCGUGAGAGCGCGAACCCCCACAAUGGAACUGAGACACGGUCCAUACUCCUACGGGAGGCAGCAGUGAGGAAUAUUGCGCAAUGGGGGCAACCCUGACGCAGCAACGCCGCGUGGACGAUGAAGGCCUUCGGGUUGUAAAGUCCUUUUCUGAAGGAAGAUAGUGACGGUACUUCAGGAAUAAGUCCCGGCUAACUACGUGCCAGCAGCCGCGGUAAAACGUAGGGGGCGAGCGUAAUCCGGAUUUACUGGGCUUAAGCGCAAGUAGCCGGCAUCGUAAGUUGACCUGGAGCUUCCGGCUUCACUUGGAGUAGUUCGUUCAAAACUGUUGGUGCUGAAGUUGCAUAGAGGAGAUUGGAAUUCCCGGUUUACUGCUGCGAAUGCGUAGAUAUCGGGAAGGAACACCUAGUUGCCGAAGCCGGCUCUCUAGGGCAAGCCUGACCGCUGAGGUGCGAAAGCGUGGGGAGCGAACGGGAUUAGAUACCCCGGUAGUCCACGCUGUAAACGAUGGAUACUAGGUGUGGGAGGUUAUGUACCCGUUCUGUGCCGUAGCUAACGCGUUAAGUAUCCCGCCUGGGGACUACGGCCGCAAGGUUAAAACUCAAAGGAAUUGACGGGGGCCCGCACAAGCAGCGGAGCGUGUGGUUUAAUUCGAUGAUACGCGAAGAACCUUACCUGGGCUUGACAUGGUGGUAGUAGUGAAGCGAAAGCGGAACGACCCUUCGGGGAGCCAUCACAGGUGCUGCAUGGCUGUCGUCAGCUCGUGUCGUGAGAUGUUGGGUUAAGUCCCGCAACGAGCGCAACCCUCGUCGCUAGUUAUAUGUGUCUAGUGAGACUGCCGGUAUCAAACCGGAGGAAGGUGGGGAUGACGUCAAGUCAGCAUGGUCUUUAUGUCCAGGGCUACACACACGCUACAAUGGCCGGUACAAUGGGUUGCCAUACCGCGAGGUGGAGCUAAUCCUCAAAGCCGGUCUCAGUUCGGAUUGCAGUCUGCAACUCGACUGCAUGAAGGUGGAGUUGCUAGUAACCGCGCGUCAGCAAUAGUGCGGUGAUGCGUUCCCGGGCCUUGUACACACCGCCCGUCACAUCAUGGGAGUCGGCAACACCUGAAGUCGGUGACCAAACCGAAAGGUAGGAACUG